RNAcentral lists this small RNA (106 nucleotides) under Epilithonimonas lactis. Its description in RNAcentral is "Chryseobacterium halperniae Flavo-1 RNA". Lineage: Bacteria; Pseudomonadati; Bacteroidota; Flavobacteriia; Flavobacteriales; Weeksellaceae. The record is from RNAcentral.
UCUUACGCAGCCCGACUUGAGCGGAAAUCCUUUUUUGCGUGAACUCGAGUUCAACUUAAUGGAAAACGUGAGCAAAAAAGAUUGGGAGCGGAAGGCGGAAUAGCUG